UACAGAGACUGCAAGCGUUAUUCGGAUUCACUGGGCGUAAAGGGUGCGCAGGCGGUUGUGUGUGUCAGGUGUGAAAUCUCGGGGCUUAACCCCGAAACUGCGCCUGAAACUACACGACUAGAGCAUUGGAGAGGGUAGCGGAAUUCAUGGUGUAGCAGUGAAAUGCGUAGAUAUCAUGAGGAACACCAGAGGCGAAGGCGGCUACCUGGACAAUUGCUGACGCUCAGGCACGAAAGCGUGGGGAGCAAAAGGG
RNAcentral lists this ribosomal RNA (253 nucleotides) under uncultured bacterium. RNAcentral's name for it is "partial 16S ribosomal RNA". It matches the Rfam family "Bacterial small subunit ribosomal RNA", at positions 524 to 776 of the family's 1533-position model. The record is from RNAcentral.